UCCUACGGGGGGCAGCAGUGAGGAAUAUUGGUCAAUGGGCGGGAGCCUGAACCAGCCAAGCCGCGUGAGGGAAGAAGGUACAGCGUAUCGUAAACCUCUUUUGUCAGGGAACAAAGGCGGGGACUAGUCCCCGGAUGAGGGUACCUGAAGAAAAAGCAUCGGCUAACUCCGUGCCAGCAGCCGCGGUAAUACGGAGGAUGCGAGCGUUAUCCGGAUUUAUUGGGUUUAAAGGGUGCGUAGGCGGAUUGAUAAGUUAGAGGUGAAAUGUCCGGGCUCAACUCGGGAACUGCCUCUAAUACUGUUGA
RNAcentral lists this ribosomal RNA (305 nucleotides) under uncultured bacterium. RNAcentral describes it as "bacterial SSU rRNA". It matches the Rfam family "Bacterial small subunit ribosomal RNA", at positions 337 to 639 of the family's 1533-position model. The record is from RNAcentral.